This 253-nucleotide ribosomal RNA is filed under the name uncultured bacterium. Its description in RNAcentral is "partial 16S ribosomal RNA". It matches the Rfam family "Bacterial small subunit ribosomal RNA", at positions 524 to 776 of the family's 1533-position model. The record is from RNAcentral.
UACGAAGGGGGCUAGCGUUGCUCGGAAUCACUGGGCGUAAAGGGUGCGUAGGCGGAUUUGUAAGUCAGGGGUGAAAUCCCGGGGCUCAACCUCGGAACUGCCUUUGAUACUGCAAAUCUCGAGUCCGGAAGAGGUGAGUGGAAUUCCUAGUGUAGAGGUGAAAUUCGUAGAUAUUAGGAAGAACACCAGUGGCGAAGGCGGCUCACUGGUCCGGUACUGACGCUGAGGUGCGAGAGCGUGGGGAGCGAACCGG